Molecule: ribosomal RNA, 506 nt
Filed under: uncultured bacterium
Lineage: Bacteria
Description: partial 16S ribosomal RNA
Rfam family: Bacterial small subunit ribosomal RNA
Source: RNAcentral
GAUGAACGCUAGCUACAGGCUUAACACAUGCAAGUCGAGGGGUAACGAGAGGAAAGCUUGCUUUCCUUGUCGACGACCGGCGCACGGGUGAGUAACGCGUAUCCAACCUGCCCCCAACUAGGGAAUAACCUUGCGAAAGUAAGACUAAUACCCUAUAAUUUCCUCAGAUGCCAUCUGACGAGGAAUAAAGAUUUAUCAGUUGUUGAUGGGGAUGCGUCUGAUUAGCUUGUUGGCGGGGUAACGGCCCACCAAGGCAACGAUCAGUAGGGGUUCUGAGAGGAAGGUCCCCCACAUUGGAACUGAGACACGGUCCAAACUCCUACGGGAGGCAGCAGUGAGGAAUAUUGGUCAAUGGGCGGAAGCCUGAACCAGCCAAGUAGCGUGCAGGAUGACGGCCCUAUGGGUUGUAAACUGCUUUUAUACAGGAAUAAAGUUAGCCACGUGUGGUUAUUUGUAGGUACUGUAUGAAUAAGGACCGGCUAAUUCCGUGCCAGCAGCCGCCGUAA